AACGAACGCUGGCGGCAUGCCUAACACAUGCCAGUCGAACGAGACCUUCCGGUCUAGUGGCGCUCCGCUACGUACCGCCUGGUAACCUGCCCUUCAGUACCCAACACCUCCCCGAAAGGUGUGCUAAGACCGGAUUAUGUCUUACGUCCUAGGAUGUAUGGCCUUUGGUUGGGCCCGCGAUGGAUUCGCUAGUUGGUAGGGUACUAGCCUCCCAUGGAGUUGAUCCAUAGCUGGUCGGAUAGGAUGAUCAGCACGACUGGGACUGAGACACGGCCUAGAACGCUACGGGAGGCAGCAGUGGGUAAUAUUGGAAAAGGGGCGAAAGCGUGAUCCAGCAGUGCCGCGGAAGUGAUGAAGGCCUUAGGAUUGUAAAGCUCUUUUUGCCGGGAUGAUAAUGACGGUACCGGGAGAAUAAGCGCCGGCUAACUCCGUG
RNAcentral lists this ribosomal RNA (433 nucleotides) under uncultured bacterium. RNAcentral's name for it is "partial 16S ribosomal RNA". It matches the Rfam family "Bacterial small subunit ribosomal RNA", at positions 29 to 507 of the family's 1533-position model. The record is from RNAcentral.